Molecule: ribosomal RNA, 382 nt
Filed under: uncultured eukaryote
Lineage: Eukaryota
Description: partial 18S ribosomal RNA
Rfam family: Eukaryotic small subunit ribosomal RNA
Source: RNAcentral
UGUAAGCGUCUACCAAAGUUGUUGCAGUUAAAACGCUCGUAGUCGGAAUUUGGCAGUUCCGGAAGUGUGCACGUCGUGUGCGCACUUUGCGGGGACUGCUUUUGUGGUCUUGCGUAGGAUGAGGCACUUUCAUUAGUGAACGUCCUCACGCAACCACUCUUUACUGUGAGAAAAUCAGAGUGCUCAAAGCAGGCAUUUGCCGUGAAUGUAUUAGCAUGGAAUAAUAGAAUAGGACUCGGUUCUAUUUUGUUGGUUUGUUGGGACUGAGUAAUGAUUAAGAGGGACAGUUGGGGGCAUUUGUAUUCCGGCGCUAGAGGUGAAAUUCUUAGAUUGCCGGAAGACAAACUGCUGCGAAAGCGUCUGCCAAGGAUGUUUUCAUUGA